GUGUCAGCAGCCGCGGUAAUACAGAGGGUGCGAGCGUUAAUCGGAUUUACUGGGCGUAAAGCGUGUGUAGGUGGCUUCCUAAGUCGGUUGUGAAAUCCCUGGGCUCAACCUGGGAAUUGCAGUCGAUACUGGGAAGCUCGAGUUCGGUAGAGGACGGCGGAAUUCCCGGUGUAGCGGUGAAAUGCGUAGAUAUCGGGAGGAACAUCGAUGGCGAAAGCAACCGUCUGGGCCUGAACUGACACUGAGACACGAAAGCGUGGGGAGCAAACAGGAUUAGAAACCCGCGUAGUCC
This 292-nucleotide ribosomal RNA is filed under the name uncultured bacterium. RNAcentral's name for it is "partial 16S ribosomal RNA". It matches the Rfam family "Bacterial small subunit ribosomal RNA", at positions 505 to 796 of the family's 1533-position model. The record is from RNAcentral.